GAUGAACGCUGGCGGCGUGCCUAAUACAUGCAAGUCGAGCGAACGGACGGGAAGCUUGCUUCUCUGAUGUUAGCGGCGGACGGGUGAGUAACACGUGGAUAACCUACCUAUAAGUCUGGGAUAACUUCGGGAAACCGGAGCUACUACCGGAUGAUAUUUUGAACCGCAUGGUUCAAAAGUGAAAGACGGUCUUGCUGUCUCUUAUAGAUGGAUCCGCGCUGCAUUAGCUAGUUGGUAAGGUAACGGCUUACCAAGGCAACGAUGCAUAGCCGACCUGAGAGGGUGAUCGGCCACACUGGAACUGAGACACGGUCCAGACUCCUACGGGAGGCAGCAGUAGGGAAUCUUCCGCAAUGGGCGAAAGCCUGACGGAGCAACGCCGCGUGAGUGAUGAAGGUCUUCGGAUCGUAAAACUCUGUUAUUAGGGAAGAACAUAUGUGUAAGUAACUGUGCACAUCUUGACGGUACCUAAUCAGAAAGCCACGGCUAACUACGUG
This 497-nucleotide ribosomal RNA is filed under the name uncultured bacterium. Its description in RNAcentral is "partial 16S ribosomal RNA". It matches the Rfam family "Bacterial small subunit ribosomal RNA", at positions 28 to 507 of the family's 1533-position model. The record is from RNAcentral.